UGUAGCUGUAGCUGUAUGCUGGAAUUAGGCUAACGCUGACCCUUGCGGGUUUUUCCCCAACGAAUUUACAUUCUCCCCGCGAAUCGAGCUUCC
Long non-coding RNA from Priapulus caudatus, 93 nucleotides. RefSeq lists it as uncharacterized. NCBI's taxonomy places the organism in Eukaryota, Metazoa, Priapulida, Priapulimorpha, Priapulimorphida, Priapulidae. The record is from RefSeq and is a predicted model, not a curated record. The transcript has 3 exons.